AACGCGAAGAACCUUACCAUCCCUUGACAUGUCGUGCCAGCCGGAGAGAUCCGGGGUUCCCUUCGGGGACGCGAACACAGGUGCUGCAUGGCUGUCGUCAGCUCGUGUCGUGAGAUGUUGGGUUAAGUCCCGCAACGAGCGCAACCCUCGUCCUUAGUUGCCAUCAUUUAGUUGGGCACUCUAGGGAGACUGCCGGUGAUAAGCCGAGAGGAAGGUGUGGAUGACGUCAAGUCCUCAUGGCCCUUACGGGAUGGGCUACACACGUGCUACAAUGGCGGUGACAGUGGGCAGCGAAGGAGCGAGGUGGAGCAAAUCCCCAAAAACCGUCUCAGUUCAGAUUGCACUCUGCAACUCGAGUGCAUGAAGGCGGAAUCGCUAGUAA
RNAcentral lists this ribosomal RNA (382 nucleotides) under uncultured bacterium. RNAcentral describes it as "bacterial SSU rRNA". It matches the Rfam family "Bacterial small subunit ribosomal RNA", at positions 958 to 1341 of the family's 1533-position model. The record is from RNAcentral.